CGGGGUGAGUAAUGUCUGGGAAACUGCCUGAUGGAGGGGGAUAACUACUGGGAACGGUAGCUAAUACCGCAUAACGUCGCAAGACCAAAGAGGGGGACCUUCGGGCCUCUUGCCAUCGGAUGUGCCCAGAUGGGAUUAGCUAGUAGGUGGGGUAAUGGCUCACCUAGGCGACGAUCCCUAGCUGGUCUGAGAGGAUGACCAGCCACACUGGAACUGAGACACGGUCCAG
This 229-nucleotide ribosomal RNA is filed under the name uncultured bacterium. RNAcentral describes it as "partial 16S ribosomal RNA". It matches the Rfam family "Bacterial small subunit ribosomal RNA", at positions 104 to 334 of the family's 1533-position model. The record is from RNAcentral.